UACGUAGGGUGCAAGCGUUGUCCGGAAUCAUUGGGCGUAAAGCGCGCGUAGGUGGCUUCGUAAGUCCGUUGUGAAAGUCAAAGGCUCAACCUUUUGAAUGCCGAUGGAUACUGCGGAGCUAGAGUACGGAAGAGGCGAGUGGAAUUCCUGGUGUAGCGGUGGAAUGCGCAGAUAUCAGGAGGAACACCAAUAGCGAAGGCAGCUCGCUGGGACGUUACUGACACUAAGGCGCGAAAGCGUGGGGAGCGAACAGG
This 254-nucleotide ribosomal RNA is filed under the name uncultured bacterium. RNAcentral describes it as "partial 16S ribosomal RNA". It matches the Rfam family "Bacterial small subunit ribosomal RNA", at positions 524 to 776 of the family's 1533-position model. The record is from RNAcentral.